Non-coding RNA from Cordylochernes scorpioides, 90 nucleotides. The record is from the annotation of a GenBank genome assembly. Lineage: Eukaryota; Metazoa; Arthropoda; Arachnida; Pseudoscorpiones; Chernetidae.
CUUUCGAUAGCUCAGUUGGCAGAGCGGAGUAUUGUAGAUAUAAUAGCAACGGUGAUCCUUAGGUUGCUGGUCCAAAUCCGGCUCGAGGGA